Molecule: ribosomal RNA, 253 nt
Filed under: uncultured bacterium
Lineage: Bacteria
Description: partial 16S ribosomal RNA
Rfam family: Bacterial small subunit ribosomal RNA
Source: RNAcentral
UACGUAGGGGGCAAGCGUUAUCCGGAUUUACUGGGUGUAAAGGGAGCGUAGGUGGCAUGGUAAGUCAGAUGUGAAAGCCCAGGGCUCAACCCUGGGAUUGCAUUUGAAACUACCAAGCUAGAGUGCAGGAGAGGUAAGUGGAAUUCCUAGUGUAGCGGUGAAAUGCGUAGAUAUUAGGAGGAACACCAGUGGCGAAGGCGGCUUACUGGACUGUAACUGACACUGAGGCUCGAAAGCGUGGGGAGCAAACAGG